CUAAGCCAUGCGAGUCAAAUGUUCUUCGUGAACAUGGCGUACUGCUCAGUAACACGUGGAUAACCUGCCCUUAGGACUGGCAUAACCCCGGGAAACUGGGGAUAAUUCCGGAUAGUUCAUGGUAGCUGGAAUGCUCCAUGAUCGAAAGCUAUUGCGCCUAAGGAUGGGUCUGCGGUCUAUCAGGUAGUAGUGGGUGUAAUGUACCUACUAGCCGACGACGGAUACGGGUUGUGGGAGCAAGAGCCCGGAGAUGGAUUCUGAGACAUGAAUCCAGGCCCUACGGGGCGCAGCAGGCGCGAAAACUUUACAAUGCGGGAAACCGCGAUAAGGGGACACCGAGUGCCAGCAUCUUAUGUUGGCUGUCCGCAUGUAUAAAUCACAUGUGUUAGCAAGGGCCGGGCAAGACCGGUGCCAGCCGCCGCGGUAACACCGGCGGCCCGAGUGGUGGCCACUAUUAUUGGGUCUAAAGGGUCCGUAGCCGGUUUGGUCAGUCUUCCGGGAAAUCUGACGGCUUACCGUUAGGCUUUCGGGGGAUACUACCAGGCUUGGGACCGGGAGAGGUAAGAGGUACUACGGGGGUAGGAGUGAAAUCUUGUAAUCCUCGUGGGACCACCAGUGGCGAAGGCGACUUACCAGGACGGGUCCGACGGUGAGGGACGAAAGCUGGGGGCACGAACCGGAUUAGAUACCCGGGCAGUCCCAGCCGUAAACUAUGCUCGCUAGGUGUCAGGGACGGUGCGACCGUUUCUGGUGCCGCAGGGAAGCCGUGAAGCGAGCCACCUGGGAAGUACGGUCGCAAGGCUGAAACUUAAAGGAAUAGGCGGGGGAGCACUACAACGGGUGGAGCCUGCGGUUUAAUUGGACUCAACGCCGGAAAACUCACCUGGGGCGACAGCAAUAUGUAGG
RNAcentral lists this ribosomal RNA (906 nucleotides) under uncultured archaeon. RNAcentral's name for it is "bacterial SSU rRNA". It matches the Rfam family "Archaeal small subunit ribosomal RNA", at positions 44 to 953 of the family's 1478-position model. The record is from RNAcentral.